RNAcentral lists this ribosomal RNA (409 nucleotides) under Salmonella enterica subsp. enterica serovar Ohio str. CFSAN001079. RNAcentral's name for it is "bacterial LSU rRNA". It matches the Rfam family "Bacterial large subunit ribosomal RNA", at positions 2524 to 2925 of the family's 2925-position model. The record is from RNAcentral. Lineage: Bacteria; Pseudomonadati; Pseudomonadota; Gammaproteobacteria; Enterobacterales; Enterobacteriaceae.
CCUCGAUGUCGGCUCAUCACAUCCUGGGGCUGAAGUAGGUCCCAAGGGUAUGGCUGUUCGCCAUUUAAAGUGGUACGCGAGCUGGGUUUAGAACGUCGUGAGACAGUUCGGUCCCUAUCUGCCGUGGGCGCUGGAGAACUGAGGGGGGCUGCUCCUAGUACGAGAGGACCGGAGUGGACGCAUCACUGGUGUUCGGGUUGUCAUGCCAAUGGCACUGCCCGGUAGCUAAAUGCGGAAGAGAUAAGUGCUGAAAGCAUCUAAGCACGAAACUUGCCCCGAGAUGAGUUCUCCCUGAGACUUAAAGUCUCCUGAAGGAACGUUGAAGACGACGACGUUGAUAGGCCGGGUGUGUAAGCGCAGCGAUGCGUUGAGCUAACCGGUACUAAUGAACCGUGAGGCUUAACCUUAC